Molecule: long non-coding RNA, 251 nt
Filed under: Lathyrus oleraceus (garden pea)
Lineage: Eukaryota; Viridiplantae; Streptophyta; Magnoliopsida; Fabales; Fabaceae
Description: Pisum sativum (pea) long non-coding RNA (PSAT_LNC031694)
Source: RNAcentral
CAUUUACACAGUUGGCCUUAGGUUAGUUCUGUAAUUCUCUUGAAGAACAAACUAACUAAUAUGCUGAAGUAUAGCAGAACACCACUCUGCCCAAUCUUCAGUAGCUGCUGUCAAUGAUGAAUGUCACAACAUCCAGUUUGACAUUCAAUCAGUAGGCCUUAUGCCAGGUCUGGUUCUUCCUUGAUAACCAGACUGCAAGUGAAUACUAAGUUCUAACAGAGCUUCUGUUCCUCAGUAUCUGUUGACAGGUA